UCCUAAAUGCGAGUCUCCCAGAGGUCCCUUGGUUUCUGUGUGUGCUAUGAUGACCUUUACUCCUGGAAGAAUCUUCAACAGGAAACAAAUGUUUAAAACUGAAGUUAACAGAAGUUGAAUUCAUCAAAAGAAAGGAUUGUUACAGAGAAGAUGAAGCCCGAUUACUCGUGAGUUGUACAUCAUAAGGAGAAGAGGUCAGGCACAUAAGCUGCAAGAAAGGAAAUGCCACAGACAACCAGAGAGACACAUUGCUCUCCAGUUCCAGAGGAGGGACAAGAAUAGAUUGAUGACCUGAAUAUACACUAAGG
Cygnus olor (mute swan) is the source of this 308-nucleotide long non-coding RNA. RefSeq lists it as uncharacterized. The transcript has 3 exons. The record is from RefSeq and is a predicted model, not a curated record. NCBI's taxonomy places the organism in Eukaryota, Metazoa, Chordata, Aves, Anseriformes, Anatidae.